CAAGUUUGAAAGCAUCAAUGAAGAGACCAUAAGUAAAACCCAUCUUGAAGUUGUUCAAAAGAGCAAUAGGAAAAGUCACUUUAGGCCGACUGUAAUAGAAGCGCGUCACAUACUCGGUAAUUAAGACGCAGACUACAGCAGCAAUGACAUCAUUGACUCCUAAAGCACCAAAAGAUAGGGAAAUUGUCUGAGCCACAUAAAAUCCACCCAGCAAUGAUAUACCUCCAAAUAGUGCCCUCCGUGAUGGGCUUUUAAAAUAAUUUCUUGAAAUCUCUGGCACGACACGGAUAAUAUCAACUAGCCGCCGAGGCCCUCCGCCAUUAUCUUGCACACCCGGCUAUGGAUCUUCCCCUUCUUUCAGGUACCUAACCUUUGAAAGGAAUUUUAGAUUCAUGACCUCAGAAACACCUAAAAGGGCAUUCUAUAUCCCUACCUUUUGUUGUCCUUAAAUGCCCCCUACAAAGAAGCUAGCAGCACUUUAACUAGAGGAGUUUUUUGUCUUUUCAUAAAAACAACCCGGCUUGGAUCUUCCCCUUCUUUCAGGUACCUUUGUUUAACAAAAACGAUGGAUUCUUUUUUCACAUGGUGGGUGUGAAUAUUCACUCUUCUUCGUGAUUUAACUUUUCAGUCUGAGUUAUUGUCCAAAUUGUAGUAUUUCUUAAGGGUAUAGCCAGGGUAAAUAUAUUUAUAUCAAAUUAAGUAAAUUUAAUAAAGUAAUAAUAGGCAUUAAUUAACCAUGAAAGUAAUAAAUUAACUCGUGAUUCUAUUAAUUUGAUACUACAAACGUGGGGUGCAGUUAAGUUUUUACCGAAUAGCAAGUGUUUGGUGAAUUUAAUUAGCUCCAUACUGUUAAGUUCAUUGCUAGUUUAUGAUUUUUAAAAGGCUCAAAGUCCAAGAACUGAUUGUCUGUAUCUCAGCUUCUCCAUCCUUUAAUUUGACUUGUAGGAUCUCCUUUUCCUCAGGUGUUUUCUGUUCAUGAUGUUAAUC
Molecule: long non-coding RNA, 987 nt
Filed under: Nicotiana tabacum (common tobacco)
Lineage: Eukaryota; Viridiplantae; Streptophyta; Magnoliopsida; Solanales; Solanaceae
Description: long non-coding RNA (NTAB_LNC011437)
Source: RNAcentral